Lineus longissimus is the source of this 422-nucleotide long non-coding RNA. RefSeq lists it as uncharacterized. The transcript is spliced from 3 exons. Lineage: Eukaryota; Metazoa; Nemertea; Pilidiophora; Heteronemertea; Lineidae. The record is from RefSeq and is a predicted model, not a curated record.
AGAUUUCUUUCGAAAAUGGCGGAAAAUGUGAAAUCAGUCACUUAAAACGUUUGUAAAAGGGUACUUUCUACUACUGCAAGACGAUUCUGCUAUCCUUUUAUUGAUAAAAGUAGGGCCUUUCCAAAUCUACACAGAGAGAAUGUCGACACCAAUUCCUCAAAUAGCCAAAAGCCAAACUAUGAAGUUCACACUCCUGAGCAGAAAUGUGUUGACUGUUGAAGAAGCUGAACUUUAUGAAUUAGCAAGUUUGGCUGGUGUAACAAUAGAUGCGAAUGUCUUCAAAAUUCUGUUAGAUCUGCUGAAGAUGAACAUUGCACCAACUGCCAUCAUGCAAAUGUUGAAAUCAAUGCGAGGACACCGACGGAAAAAAGCGCCGACUCCUUCAUUUGAUAUGUUAGCUAGUAAAGGAACUCUUGGUGCCA